Molecule: long non-coding RNA, 2572 nt
Organism: Diabrotica virgifera virgifera (western corn rootworm)
Lineage: Eukaryota; Metazoa; Arthropoda; Insecta; Coleoptera; Chrysomelidae
Exons: 3
Source: RefSeq, a predicted model, not a curated record
AGAGAAAUGCGAUUGGCAACACUGUUCCAGUUAGUUAUCCGGUAGAUAAGCUUAAAAGUAAGUUUGGAUUCCGAACACACCUGACUUUUAUGUUUAUUUUUAUAAUUUCAGCUUUAACUUAACCUAACAUAAUUAGAUUCAAAGAUGAUUUUAUCGAUUUUAUUUCCAUUUUGGAAGAAGGAAAUGUAAUCACAGAAUUACAACUUAAUAGGUUUAGUCACAACUUAACUUAGUUUAGUCACAGUUUUUUUGCUUAUACGAAACAGUUAGUUCACUCUAGUUUUUAUGCGGUUCCUGCGCUUGCAGAAACUCCUAGCAGACUGCGUAGUAGACUAGGAGGAAAAUGUUGCUGUUGCAAGAUUUAAAAUAUUCCGAUAAAGAAUAUUCCAAAAUUAUAAUAAAAUAAUUAUGAUUAUCGAUUUUUUUCAAAAAGCUGAAAAUUAAAUUCAUAAAUGGUAAAAUCCUUUAUGUACACACUUGUAUAAAAUUUGAAAAUUAAUAUCUUCUAAUUAUUGAUUGAAUGUAUUCAGAAAAUUAAUCACAAGUAACUAUCUAAAUUGGUGACAUUUGGCAACAGUGAGUAGAUCUGGUAUAUGUCUAUUCCAAACAUAACCUUAUAUUAUAAACAGUUGUUUAUUUAGAGUUAUUUAUUAUUGUUUUCUCAUAUUUUGCAAUUGUUAAGUUGGUUUACUUCGAAUUUAAUAUGCAUUACUGUGGUAUUUCUCCAGUUUUCUAAGAAGUUUGGUGAUUUUGAAUUGGGAUUAUGAUGAAUUUAACCCAAAGGCAAUGUGUGUUUAUUUAUGUGGCAAAAUUCCAGGCACCAUAAAAAUUUGAGUUUCUUCCUGUUGCCCAUGGAUGAAAUCGGUUUGCAGAAUGAAAAGAAAUUGUUCAAUGUGAUAUACUUUCUAUGAACAGUCCUCAAUAUUGUUACAUUAACUUUUAAAUAUGCACUUUACAUCUUGAGGAGCAGGCCUUUGCAGAAAUACUGAAAAGCGGGUUGCAAAACAACGCAAAAUAAAACAAACGAAAUAUGUCUUGAGAUUAAACAUUCAAGUUGAAGGUGUGUUCUUUCUUAAACUGAAAUGAUAAUUUUGUAAUUAUGUAGGCACAUCUAUUGAGAAGUUACAACCAGUGGCAAAGUGCCUUAAGGGAAUCUAUGACAUAUAAUUGAAGCUAUCAGCAUUGGCUCUACAGCCCAUGGUGGGUCUUGGCCUGUUCCAGAAUCAGCUUCCACUCUUUCCUAUCCCAAUCUUUCCAAUUUCUCACUCGAGCAUGGAUUUUUGGUAUAUAUGGGAUUAUAUUGUGAUAACGACCAGAUCUAUGAAAAAAUAGUAUGUUGUUAAAGAAGAUUGUGGUGACACUAUUCAUGAAUAUCUGAUAAUAUUGGUUAAUGUGAAUGGAGUCCAAAAUGGGUUUAGGCUGUUAUAUAAAAAAACUAGGUCAUUAGCAUAUGGAAGUAGGGCGACAUUAUCUGGUAUUAAAUUAUGUGAAUGAGGAGAAUUAAACCUAAAAACUCUAUUUAUUCUGCUAAUCAAUAUGAUUUUAAUAUAUUUUAAUAUAAAACAUAUGUUAUUCUUUCUAGGGACAUCUCCUCUGAAGGAAUUACAAUUAUUUGCCAGUAUGUCAAAUGAAUUUAUUGAUGAAAAUAAAACUAGGUACAUGAUUUAUUAUUUACUUCCAAGGGAUUCUAAGAUACUAUGUGUAAAAAGUCCAAUAUGCAGUGAUGAGCAUGCUAAUAACUGGCAAAAUAUGGGAUAUAACGCCAAAGAUGGGAAACAUGGGAUGCAUUCUGAAAUAAAAAGAGAUGAAACUGAGAGAAAUUAUCCAUAUAAACAUAUAAAUCAACAUUACAUUACAUAGUUUCCCACCUUUAGACGUAUCAGAUGAGUAUGAGAACUGUCACUGUGACAGGAGAAUUUUAUAAAAUACUCCUGUCACAGAGAUCUAAAGGUGGGAAACUAUGUAAUGUUAUCAUCGGCUAAGAGUGUUAACCUGCUAACCCCAUUUUUCACUGUGAGUGAUAUUGGGGUAGUUUCUACAUCUGUGUACCUUCAUACCAUGUCCCACAAGCCCGCUGGUUCCACUGUAGUUUAGAGAUAGCUAUUUCUAAACUACAUUGGUGUCGGCGGGUUUGUGGGGUGCUGUAUGAAAAUACACAGACCCAGAAACUAGCCCAAUAUCACUCAAAGUGAAAAAUGGAGUUAGCAGGUUAAAACUCUUAUCCAACGUUAUGUUAAUUUAUUCGUUUAUAACGAUAAUUUCCACUUCUACCAGUUUCAUCUCUUUUUAUCUCACAAGUUAAUAUGUUUUCCAUCUUUUGCGUUAUUUUGCCGGUUAUUAGUGUGAGUGCUCAUUACUGUCUAUUUACGAUUCUGUGAUUUCUUAAUAUGAUGCUGAGUAGGUGUAGAUGAGUAUCUACAACCCUUUCAAAACAGAAAUUUAUGAGUUCAUUUUAUGUACCUAUUAAACUUUAUUUUAAGGAUGAAUUUGAAAUGCUUGUAGGGAAUAUAUCUGUAAAAAUAAAAUUGGUAUUGUAAAAUUGAAAUUCUCAAAAUAUAAUUUAUAAUUCGAA